Molecule: long non-coding RNA, 222 nt
Filed under: Elaeis guineensis (African oil palm)
Lineage: Eukaryota; Viridiplantae; Streptophyta; Magnoliopsida; Arecales; Arecaceae
Description: long non-coding RNA (EGUI_LNC014329)
Source: RNAcentral
GCUGCUAAGACUAGAAACAGAUAUUAACCAUCCGUUGGUAAAUUAGAAACAGAAUCUCGUUCUGUUUUUGAAAUUAGAAAUAGAAAUUUUUUCGUUACUAAAAAUUUUUUCGUUGUUAAAAAUUUUUUCAUUGCUAACAUUAGCAAUGAAAUUUUAUUCCAUUUCUAAAUUUAGAAAUGAAUGGCUUUUCCAUUACUAUAAUAGAAAUGAAAGUACUAUCCG